AAGACAGAUAUUUUAAAAUUACAAUUUUACCCUUAAUAAAAAAACAUAUGUCCAAGAAAAAAUUUCACACCGAGAACCAUAGAAACAUUACUGCAACCAUCGCCUUUGCCGAUUGGCAUGUUAGGAGGCUCAUUCUUUGUCGGACUUUGAAUAUGUUGUACUGUAUGAACCUCCCUCUCAAGCUAACCAUUAGAAAAUAUUCUCCACGCCACCAGUUGGAGGCAACUGUUGUUGCUGCUGUUGAUGGUAAAAUAUUGGAUUCAAUCAGCAUACUGGAUUUCUUAAAGAGUGGGUAGAUGUAGGGUUAAUCUACUCAUCUCAAAAAGCCCAACUUAGUUUUCUAUAACAGAUUCAAAAAAAAAUUCAAAUAAACAUAAAAAGAUUGCUAUCACAAAGAAAGAUAGGAAUUUGAAAACCCAUAACAGACCAACCAAUGGAAAAAAAUCAGCACAAACAAGAAAACUCAAUCUCGCAUACAACACAAAAUCGUUAAUAAAAUUGAAAAACCAAAAAGUAAAAGAAUAAAAGAGUAGGAAAGAAAUCUAUAUUGAAGAGUUUUGUGAAGGUAAGAGAUUUGAGAGAGAGAGAGAGAGAGAGAGGACCUUAUGGGUUUUCUUUUUCCUUG
RNAcentral lists this long non-coding RNA (625 nucleotides) under Jatropha curcas. RNAcentral's name for it is "long non-coding RNA (JCUR_LNC002222)". Lineage: Eukaryota; Viridiplantae; Streptophyta; Magnoliopsida; Malpighiales; Euphorbiaceae. The record is from RNAcentral.